ACCACUCUGUCAUAUACUUCGAACGAACGUGUCUCGUGACACAGAUGUUACAAUAACGAGUACGGGCAUGCUCGGGUCUUUUGCCCACAUUUCUUUGCGUUGUAUCAACAUUCCGCCCCACCCCGAAGAAACAACCAUCACUGUACGUAAAACAGGAAGCAACGAGCCAUACAUGUUCACGAAGACAGUGAAAACAACGCCAAACCGUGGAAGAAAAAACGUUAUUGUCCACGAGAAGAGAAACUUCACAUCAACAUCACAGCCUCUUAUUGUGGAUGCAUUUGAUUCAAUCUAAACGGAGAAGGUCUCUGUUGACAACAUGGGACAGCAUCUAGGAAAACGUGAGCUACAGCCGCAGAGCAAGCCUUUGUCAGCAGAACCAGAAGCAGAACAGACCAUAGAACCAGCCCCCAUUGGUGAGACCAUGGUAGAACCCGAAUCACAAGACGAGGUCUUUGGCCUGGAUGAGGCAGAUGUGAACCCGAACAAUGGCUGCCCCUCUGAGAAGGCGGCGGCGGUGACUGACUCCACGGGCACUGAGGGGCCCAGCAGCUCCUGGAACGAGGCCAGCACAGCUGAUGCUGACGACAGCGCUGUGCCACGCCCCCACCUGGUCCGCCUCUUUUCCCGAGAUGCCCCGGGCCGCGAGGACAACACCUUCAAAGACCGCCCUUCUGAAUCAGAUGAGCUACAGACCAUCCAAGAGCACAGCGGAGCGGGAUCAGAGUGUGGUUCAGAGGAUCAGGAUCUAGACUAAGUUUGUUUCUUUGCUCUCCUUUCUCUCUCUUAAUACCCCCUUCGCUCUUACCUGAGAGACAGAACCCCACUUACAGAGAUACUAGCUGCACUACCCAACAAAAACCACUGACAUGGCAACUGCAAGCUCCUCUGGACUGUCUAGCCUGGGAAGGAAAAAGAAGGCCCCUGGCCUUAUGGAUCAAAUUGGGAACUUCUUUGGAGGGGACAAGAAGAGGAAGAGCAAGGGUUCCUUCCGUGGCCUGUCCUCCUCUCCUGCCAGACCUGCCAAGGCAGCCCCUAAGGGAGGAGAGAACGCUGUUGUACGCCUCUUCAGAACGAUCGUGUCCCCUGCCCCUCCUAAGUCUAGGAAGUCAACAGGAUCCGCUAAGGCGAAGAAGGCCGGUGCAGGAGACAGCGGAACCCUGUCCAAGAUCUUCAAAAUGUGAUGAUACCCAGCACUCAGGCGCAAGCCGGACUGGGUCUCUACCCAAAAAAUGAAGUCCCCUUUCAAGAGCACAAAGGCAGAUGUCAAGAAAAGGGACGCAAGUGGGGGGAAAACAAAGAACAGAUCUUUGUCGACUCACACACCUCUCCCUGCUUUUCUAACACUUUCAUUUUAUAACUCAAGUGCCUCCCUCACCGCACCCGGCUGGUAGAUAUAGCGACACAAUCUGUGCCCCCCCGCCCCGCCCCUUGCUCCUCCCUCCCGCCUCUCCUGUGCAACCAUCUUGGAUGUGAACUGUUGCCGAAGUCAUCCGGACCCCCUCUUACAGCCUAAAGGACCCCUGUCAUAGCUUUACAGUACCUGUGUCUUCAUUUCUAUUUCUCUGUCUGUCUGUAUAGAGUCGUUUAACAAGGCUGGCUAACUGGACCAGACCUGGCUGAAGUAGCUUAGGUCCAAUUGACCUGGCCCUGACCGCUUGUGGUUGUGAAAGUGUGACCAGGUCUGGUUCUGGUUCAGAAACGAGUGAUUAUCUGUCUUGUCAUGCUUGUCUUUGUCAUUUCCCCCCCACACCCUCUCCCAUUUCCGUACAUCCUGACAUGAAUUCAUAGCUAAGCAUUGUCUUACUAAGCUUGCAUGGGUUGUUGUGAUGGCCAGUUGGUCAUGUGUUUGUAUGUCUACCCUCCUGUAUCAUCAGUGUAAGUGUCCUGUCUUAAGUGUUGCUGUCUUUCCAUGUUUUUGCAUUAGGGUCUAUGGCUGGCUGUGAUCUUUGGUGGCAAAAUGACAUCGAGCUACUGAAAGCGGUUAACCUACUAAAAUUCUCUGUCUGUAGUAUCCACUGAAUUGUAGAAGUCAAUGGAUGAUGUCAUCAUUUCUAAUGUUGUUUUCAUUUGAUUUCCAGUACAUGUAGAUUGUUUAAGACACUAAUGGGUAUGGUAUUGGGAGUUUCCCCAUCCAGAUCUAACUGAGAUGCGUCUGAAGUGCACUGUUUUGACCAUUGAAAAGCAGACACUGACUGCUCUGAAACCAAGCUCACGCUGGACCUGCUACAAGCAUGGCACUUCCAACGGGAGGACAGAUUCAGACCCUUCCCCCAUUAGUGUAGUCUUCUCUGUCUUAAGUAUCUCUUGCUUUAUAUAUAUAUAUAUAUAUAUUCUAUCUAUCGAAGCACUGCACAAAAUAUGAAUACAAAACAGCUAGCUAAGCAAUGCCAUUUCUGACUGCCAAAAACAAUGUGCUGUGUUUACUCUGUGUGGAUAUUAAAAGACCAACACUGUCAUAAAGGUGCUCGUUAUUUAACUGUGUAAAAGCAUAAACGUUAUUUUAAAAAAAGAUGAAGAUGGAUAGAGAGGACGCGGAGUUUGUCGACCAAGGCACGAGCGACGACUUGCAUAAACAGCUUAUUACUGCCACUGUACUGUCAAAUACCCCCACACCGAAGUGUCUUUCCUCCAUUCGUUUAAAAACCAACGUGUGUAAUCUGUAGCAUACUCUGCCUGCCCCCGUCUCCACUCCCCCCAUGUCUUAAUGUGUGUGCGCGCGUUUUUGUAUGGGUCCUGUGAAUGAAUGUAAAUGAAACUCUUGAGACCCUCAUUGUUGUAUCUGUAAUAAAAAGAUGUACGACCAGCCACUUAAUAACUAGAAGAAAAAAAAAAUAAAGGAAUUAAAAAUCAUAAAACCGUUA
Salmo salar (Atlantic salmon) is the source of this 2864-nucleotide RNA transcript. It is a transcript of the gene named myelin basic protein, with no coding region annotated. The record is from RefSeq and is a predicted model, not a curated record. Lineage: Eukaryota; Metazoa; Chordata; Actinopteri; Salmoniformes; Salmonidae.